Molecule: long non-coding RNA, 228 nt
Filed under: Linum usitatissimum (flax)
Lineage: Eukaryota; Viridiplantae; Streptophyta; Magnoliopsida; Malpighiales; Linaceae
Description: long non-coding RNA (LUSI_LNC000325)
Source: RNAcentral
UAUGAAAGAACAUAUAUCGUUACAAAAUAAGCAAACUUUAUUAGUAUAAUGUCGGACCAGAAGGAUCCACCUCCAAUCUAGUUUGAUUUUUUAUGGAGAAUAGUUAAAUAAACAAAACAAUUCUGAGUUUGAUCCAUGAACUAGCAAGGUAAAAAAUAACAAAAAGAACAUAGAUGAAAAUUCAUAAUAUGUGAUAGCCAAUCAAUUCCCUUUAAGGCCAUGGUUUCC